AUGCAAAAGCCCCAGUGCGUCCCCGCAGCACAAAGAGCCGUGGCUGCGCACGGGGCCGGCGCGGUCCGACGGCAGCGAGCGGCAGCGACCCCACAUUGUGCCCGGGGCUCGCUGGAGCACGACGCCCUGGGACGUGGGGCUGGGGGCCGGGGUGGGAUGGGAUGGAUCGGGGCUGGAAGCCGUUCCCUUGGUAACGGCGGGUCCCAGUUUCCACCAAUCGAUGUGGCGGUGCGGGCUGGGGGGGCUCGUGGCCUACAUAAGCGCCCGUCGGGCACCGCGCGCCCCGGCAGAUGCGAAACGAUGGCGAGGCUGACGGGCACCCGGCCCCCAGCUGCCCGCCGCUGGGGCUGCGCUGCCACCGCUUUCCUCCUCCUCCUCCUCACCGUGCAAGCUGGUAAGGGCGGCGGUGGUGGGGGGAGGCACGGAGGGGUCCCUGGGUCCCCCAACUGUUUGUGCUGUGGCGGUGAUUUAGGGCUGAAUGCGGCUCUCCGGCAGACAUUGUGCCGUGGGGGGGGAUGGAUGUGGCUCCUGGGUGUGCUGUGCCCCUCGGGGAGGUCCGGCUGCCCAGCGCAGGGCUCGGCACUGCGGGCAUUGCGGGGCAAGGGACUGCGAUUGCCUCCUGAUCCCUGCUCAGCUGGGCUUAAGCCGGCACUGGGAUGGGUAAUCUGCGGGAUUGCCAGACGGCCAGAAGCAGAUUGGAGAGAUGGAGCCAAAUUCAUCAAGAUGAGCUGGGGAGGAAGUGGGAGGUGUGCCAAGCAUGUGGGAGGGCGAGGAGCAGGAGGAAGGCUCCCUGUACCCACAGGAACAGAGCUCCCUGCAACACUCUCCCUGUGGAUGGGAGGUGUGGGUUCAUGGCACCAGGAGGAGGCAGGGAUCACGCUGGGAGCAGGCACGGUGUGGUGCCAUCCUAGCAGCAUCCACUACUGCAGUACUGGGGCCACUGGUACCUCAACCUGCAGGGAUUCCCAAAACCUACCUCAUAUGCCCCCCCAUGUCGGCCCACUUGGGAGGGCUGGGGUUUGGAGGAGUUCUCAGGGCACUCUCUGA
This 1047-nucleotide long non-coding RNA is filed under the name Meleagris gallopavo (turkey). RNAcentral describes it as "lncRNA (ENSMGAG00000018475.1)". The record is from RNAcentral. Lineage: Eukaryota; Metazoa; Chordata; Aves; Galliformes; Phasianidae.